RNAcentral lists this small RNA (130 nucleotides) under Salmonella enterica subsp. enterica serovar Typhimurium. RNAcentral's name for it is "RtT sRNA". It matches the Rfam family "RtT RNA". Rfam says of the family: This family represents a bacterial cis-regulatory element known as RtT RNA. Lineage: Bacteria; Pseudomonadati; Pseudomonadota; Gammaproteobacteria; Enterobacterales; Enterobacteriaceae. RNAcentral also lists the same sequence under 1 other name. The record is from RNAcentral.
AUAUCUCUCUGUACGGGAAGGAUGAGAAGCUUCGACCAAGGUUCGAUUCGAGCGCAGCGAGAAAGCGUUGCCGCAGGCAACGACCCGAAGGGCGAAGCGCGCAGCGCUGAGUCAUCCUUCCCCACCACCA